CGCCCGAAAGUGCUGUGAGCCUAUAAGUGAGUAGGGGCGGCCCGGGUCAUUGACACUGGGGCUGCAGCGCGGGCUGCGUGCGUGGUCGCGUGCCUGCCAGACAGUCCGUGAUUCCAUCAGCUUGGAGUCCUGGUAGCUGCGGCGCCGGGUGGCGAGAGGCGGGUCUCGGAGACCCCUGCGACCCACUGUGGUUCGGGGGCGUGGUGUGGUGGUACAGGCACGAAAGCGCUUCGGAAGCCGCAGUCAGCAGGCGGAGCCCCUCGCCCUAAUUGUCACCGAAGGUUAGCUAGGACCAGCAGACCUUCAUCCCCGCAGAAGAGUCGGGGUUGGGGCUCCGGGUUCCUGGAACGGUUCUCCAGACACCUGAGCCAGACCGAGGCAGUCUGGAAGAAACCACGUUUGAACGUGAGGAGUCCUUGGACCUGAGGGAAGCGAACCCGGGUUCCUGUACCAGCUUUGCCACUCAACGUGGCCAAGUCGCUUUCCUUCUUUGGGUCACAGUGGUUUUGAUCUGUAAGAGAAGAGUUUAGGACUUGAACACGAAGUCUGAUUCUCAGGAUUUCCAAAUCCCCACCAUUUAUCCUGGAAGUGGGGGCAACAAAUUGACUUUCUGUUCUUUCAUCUAUUUGUACUUCUAAAUUAUAAAAGUAAUAUUGUAAGAGUUUGGAAUAGAGCUUUUUCCUAAGAUCAAGGGCUGAAUGGAAACUUACCCAUUUCUUACACUGGGGCCUGAUCUCUUUUACUGCAGCCAGGGAGAAUCCUUUUUGUCAAGUGACUGAGGAGAAUAUUAGGUUGGAGAGUACAUUUCUUAGAUCAUGGUCGACAAACUAUGACACACUGCCUGCAUGGUUUUUACAUUUUUAAAAGAUUAACAGAAAUGAAAAGGAUAAUAUUUUCUGAUAUGUAAAAAUGAUAUGAACCUGAAAUUUCAGUGCCCAUAAAUAAAGUUUUUUGGGAACAU
Molecule: long non-coding RNA, 961 nt
Filed under: Ursus maritimus (polar bear)
Lineage: Eukaryota; Metazoa; Chordata; Mammalia; Carnivora; Ursidae
Description: lncRNA (ENSUMAG00000011816.1)
Source: RNAcentral